AUGUACGAAGGUCCUUUCCGCUUUAAAAAUGCUUCAGCUGAUGAUUCUAUGGAUCCCAUCUUCCCAGUAUUAGGAUACAACCAUUCUGAUAUAAAUAAAGAGGUUGGAUCUGCAGCUAUCUCAGGUGGCUAUGUUUAUCGCUCCAAGACUGAUCCCUGCAUAUAUGGAAGGUAAAUAUGAACACCCAUUUAGAUAUAUAAUUGAAGCAACUUCAAAUUUUGCAAACCAAACUUAACAGAAGGAUGGUUAAAUUUGCAGUUACCUAUAUGGAGAUUUGUAUGCUAAGAAUUUCUGGGCAGCUCAAGAAAAUCCAUACAAUAGUGGGAACUUUACAACAAGAGGCAUACCAUUUAGUUGUGCUCAUGAUUCCCCUCUCAACUGCAGCUCAGUACCCAAUAGUCCAUUGCCUGCUUUAGGUUACAUAUUCUCAUUUGGACAGGAUAACAGAAAGGAUACCUAUAUUUUAACAAGCACCGGCGUAUACAGAGUGGUUCGU
RNAcentral lists this long non-coding RNA (496 nucleotides) under Nicotiana tabacum (common tobacco). RNAcentral describes it as "long non-coding RNA (NTAB_LNC012360)". Lineage: Eukaryota; Viridiplantae; Streptophyta; Magnoliopsida; Solanales; Solanaceae. The record is from RNAcentral.